GCACUCAGACUCCGUUCUUCAGCACAUUCUCACACUAGAAUCAGAGCGCUCCAUCAACGGCAUUCUCGCCUCGUCCCGGUGAUGAAAAAAAAGAGAAGAGAGGAGGACGACGAACUCUUAUAACAGAUAGGGGAAGAACAAAGCAGAUGCUCUUGAUGAAGUGAUUGCUUGGGCAAAAGAAAAUCAGCCGGUGGGAUUUUCGCAUCUGCUAGGAAUACUGAUUGAUGACCACAAAUGUUGAAAUUGGAGAAUGGUCUGGUUCAUGUAAAGUUUAUUGUAAACAUAUCAUGCAGAAUGGUCGGUUCAUGUAAAGUUCAUUGUAAACAAUUAGGGAUGCAUCACACAACCCACUAAGAUGGAAAUGGAGGAUAUAGAUGGUGAUAAUAAAGUUGAUGUCAAGGAAUCCAACUCUGGUUGCUACUUUCAACAUUACACGUAAGAAAUUUUCUAUUUGUUAUGAUAAACUAUCUAAGGUGCAUCCUAGAUCUCACGAGAAUUACGUUAUUGGCAAUGUUAUGGUCCUAAUAAGGUUAGAUUCCUAUAUUUAAUCUUUGUUUUUCAUUUUUUAUGUUACUUGUGUUCUAUCAAUAUCACGUUUUUGGUUGAAGAGUAAAUGAUUAAACUAGAAUGAAGGUUAAAAGUGGAAAGGUUCAGAGAAAGGAAUUAAAUUACAUUUUCUGUUUUAGGACUGUUUUAGGUAGUUAGGAAUGUUCUUUAUUUUAAUUUAUUUUAUUUUUAACUAAAGCUUUCAUUGAGAUCAAAUAAAAGACGAGGAACCCAAUUCACUUAAAAAGGUGCUCCAAGCAAAAUAACACUGUAAAAAAAAAAAAA
Molecule: long non-coding RNA, 831 nt
Organism: Cucurbita maxima (winter squash)
Lineage: Eukaryota; Viridiplantae; Streptophyta; Magnoliopsida; Cucurbitales; Cucurbitaceae
Exons: 5
Source: RefSeq, a predicted model, not a curated record